CCAAGCUGCAAACUCGGCGAAGCACAAAGAGUGCCGGGGCUU
RNAcentral lists this transfer RNA (42 nucleotides) under Paroedura sp. 1 EG-2007. RNAcentral's name for it is "partial tRNA-Cys". The record is from RNAcentral. Lineage: Eukaryota; Metazoa; Chordata; Lepidosauria; Squamata; Gekkonidae.